RNAcentral lists this ribosomal RNA (468 nucleotides) under uncultured bacterium. Its description in RNAcentral is "partial 16S ribosomal RNA". It matches the Rfam family "Bacterial small subunit ribosomal RNA", at positions 28 to 507 of the family's 1533-position model. The record is from RNAcentral.
GACGAACGCUGGCGGCGUGCUUAACACAUGCAAGUCGAACGGAAAGGCCCUGCUUUUGUGGGGUGCUCGAGUGGCGAACGGGUGAGUAACACGUGAGUAACCUGCCCUUUACUUUGGGAUAACUUCAGGAAACUGUGGCUAAUACCGGAUAGGAGCUCCUGCUGCAUGGUGGGGGUUGGAAAGUUUCGGCGGUUGGGGAUGGACUCGCGGCUUAUCAGCUUGUUGGUGGGGUAGUGGCUUACCAAGGCUUUGACGGGUAGCCGGCCUGAGAGGGUGACCGGCCACAUUGGGACUGAGAUACGGCCCAGACUCCUACGGGAGGCAGCAGUGGGGAAUAUUGCACAAUGGGCGGAAGACUGAUGCAGCAACGCCGCGUGCGGGAUGACGGCCUUCGGGUUGUAAACCGCUUUCGCCUGUGACGAAGCGUGAGUGACGGUAAUGGGUAAAGAAGCACCGGCUAACUACGUG